Long non-coding RNA from Vespa mandarinia (Asian giant hornet), 168 nucleotides. The record is from RefSeq and is a predicted model, not a curated record. NCBI's taxonomy places the organism in Eukaryota, Metazoa, Arthropoda, Insecta, Hymenoptera, Vespidae.
UCGUCAUUUUUAUCGUCCCCUUUUUACAUAUAUAUUUCAUGAGAGUGCAAUGGGAAUAUGGAAAGAUUUGAAGGUAAAACUAUGAGAACAGGUUCAAUUUGGAAAGGUUCCAUUGGAUUUUGUGAUAUUAGAGAGAAAGAGAGAUAGAUAGAUAGAGAAAGAGAGAGA